UGGGGAAUAUUGCACAAUGGGCGAAAGCCUGAUGCAGCAACGCCGCGUGAGCGAUGAAGGCCUUCGGGUCGUAAAGCUCUGUCCUCAAGGAAGAUAAUGACGGUACUUGAGGAGGAAGCCCCGGCUAACUACGUGCCAGCAGCCGCGGUAAUACGUAGGGGGCUAGCGUUAUCCGGAAUUACUGGGCGUAAAGGGUGCGUAGGCGGUCUUUCAAGCCAGAAGUGAAAGGCUACGGCUCAACCGUAGUAAGCUUUUGGAACUGUAAGACUUGAGUGCAGGAGAGGAGAGUGGAAUUCCUAGUGUAGCGGUGAAAUGCGUAGAUAUUAGGAGGAACACCAGUAGCGAAGGCGGCUCUCUGGACUGUAACUGACGCUGAGGCACGAAAGCGUGGGGAGCAAACAGG
RNAcentral lists this ribosomal RNA (403 nucleotides) under uncultured prokaryote. RNAcentral's name for it is "bacterial SSU rRNA". It matches the Rfam family "Bacterial small subunit ribosomal RNA", at positions 355 to 776 of the family's 1533-position model. The record is from RNAcentral. RNAcentral also lists the same sequence under 1 other name.